GAUGAACGCUGGCGGCGUGCCUAAUACAUGCAAGUCGAGCGAACAGACGCGGAGCUUGCUCCUCUGACGUUAGCGGCGGACGGGUGAGUAACACGUGGAUAACCUACCUAUCAGACUGGGAUAACUACGGGAAACCGGAGCUUAUACCGGAUAAUAUAUUGAAGCGCAUGGUUCAAUAGUGAAUGACGGUUUUUGUGUCUCUUCUCGCUGGUUCCGCGCCGCAUUAGCUAGUUGGUAAGGUAACGGAUUAUCAAGGCGAGGAUGCGUAGCCGAGCUGAUAGGGUGAUCGGCCACACUGGAGCUGAGACACGGUCCAGACGCCUACGAGAGGCAGCAGUAGGGAAUCUUCCGCAAUAGGCGAAAGCCUGACGGAGCAACGCCGCGUGAGUGAUGAAGGUCUUCGGAUCGUAAUACUCUGUUAUUAGGGAAGAACAAAUGUGUAAGUAACUAUGCACGUCUUGACGGUACCUAAUCAGAAAGCCACGGCUAACUACGUG
Molecule: ribosomal RNA, 497 nt
Filed under: uncultured bacterium
Lineage: Bacteria
Description: partial 16S ribosomal RNA
Rfam family: Bacterial small subunit ribosomal RNA
Source: RNAcentral